GAUGAACGCUGGCGGCGUGCCUAAUACAUGCCAGUCGAGCGAACAGACGAGGAGCUUGCUCCUUUGACGUUAGCGGCGGACGGGUGAGUAACACGUAGGUAACCUACCUAUAAGACUGGGAUAACUUCGGGAAACCGGAGCUAAUACCGGAUAAUAUUUCGAACCGCAUGGUUCGAUAGUGAAAGAUGGCUUUGCUAUCACUUAUAGAUGGACCUGCGCCGUAUUAGCUAGUUGGUAAGGUAACGGCUUACCAAGGCAACGAUACGUAGCCGACCUGAGAGGGUGAUCGGCCACACUGGAACUGAGACACGGUCCAGACUCCUACGGGAGGCAGCAGUAGGGAAUCUUCCGCAAUGGGCGAAAGCCUGACGGAGCAACGCCGCGUGAGUGAUGAAGGUCUUCGGAUCGUAAAACACUGUUAUUAGGGAAGAACAAACGUGUAAGUAACUGUGCACGUCUUGACGGUACCUAAUCAGAAAGCCACGGCUAACUACGUG
RNAcentral lists this ribosomal RNA (497 nucleotides) under uncultured bacterium. RNAcentral's name for it is "partial 16S ribosomal RNA". It matches the Rfam family "Bacterial small subunit ribosomal RNA", at positions 28 to 507 of the family's 1533-position model. The record is from RNAcentral.